Molecule: ribosomal RNA, 1071 nt
Filed under: Staphylococcus aureus
Lineage: Bacteria; Bacillati; Bacillota; Bacilli; Caryophanales; Staphylococcaceae
Description: bacterial SSU rRNA
Rfam family: Bacterial small subunit ribosomal RNA
Source: RNAcentral
UUUUAUGGAGAGUUUGAUCCUGGCUCAGGAUGAACGCUGGCGGCGUGCCUAAUACAUGCAAGUCGAGCGAACGGACGAGAAGCUUGCUUCUCUGAUGUUAGCGGCGGACGGGUGAGUAACACGUGGAUAACCUACCUAUAAGACUGGGAUAACUUCGGGAAACCGGAGCUAAUACCGGAUAAUAUUUUGAACCGCAUGGUUCAAAAGUGAAAGACGGUCUUGCUGUCACUUAUAGAUGGAUCCGCGCUGCAUUAGCUAGUUGGUAAGGUAACGGCUUACCAAGGCAACGAUGCAUAGCCGACCUGAGAGGGUGAUCGGCCACACUGGAACUGAGACACGGUCCAGACUCCUACGGGAGGCAGCAGUAGGGAAUCUUCCGCAAUGGGCGAAAGCCUGACGGAGCAACGCCGCGUGAGUGAUGAAGGUCUUCGGAUCGUAAAACUCUGUUAUUAGGGAAGAACAUAUGUGUAAGUAACUGUGCACAUCUUGACGGUACCUAAUCAGAAAGCCACGGCUAACUACGUGCCAGCAGCCGCGGUAAUACGUAGGUGGCAAGCGUUAUCCGGAAUUAUUGGGCGUAAAGCGCGCGUAGGCGGUUUUUUAAGUCUGAUGUGAAAGCCCACGGCUCAACCGUGGAGGGUCAUUGGAAACUGGAAAACUUGAGUGCAGAAGAGGAAAGUGGAAUUCCAUGUGUAGCGGUGAAAUGCGCAGAGAUAUGGAGGAACACCAGUGGCGAAGGCGACUUUCUGGUCUGUAACUGACGCUGAUGUGCGAAAGCGUGGGGAUCAAACAGGAUUAGAUACCCUGGUAGUCCACGCCGUAAACGAUGAGUGCUAAGUGUUAGGGGGUUUCCGCCCCUUAGUGCUGCAGCUAACGCAUUAAGCACUCCGCCUGGGGAGUACGACCGCAAGGUUGAAACUCAAAGGAAUUGACGGGGACCCGCACAAGCGGUGGAGCAUGUGGUUUAAUUCGAAGCAACGCGAAGAACCUUACCAAAUCUUGACAUCCUUUGACAACUCUAGAGAUAGAGCCUUCCCCUUCGGGGGACAAAGUGACAGGUGGUGCAUGGUU